Molecule: ribosomal RNA, 495 nt
Filed under: uncultured bacterium
Lineage: Bacteria
Description: partial 16S ribosomal RNA
Rfam family: Bacterial small subunit ribosomal RNA
Source: RNAcentral
GACGAACGCUGGCGGCGUGCCUAAUACAUGCAAGUAGAACGCUGAAGGAGGAGCUUGCUUCUCCGGAUGAGUUGCGAACGGGUGAGUAACGCGUAGGUAACCUGCCUGGUAGCGGGGGAUAACUAUUGGAAACGAUAGCUAAUACCGCAUAACAGUAGAUGUAGCAUGACAUUUGCUUAAAAGGUGCAAUUGCAUCACUACCAGAUGGACCUGCGUUGUAUUAGCUAAUUGGUGAGGUAACGGCUCACCAAGGAGACGAUACAUAGCCGGCCUGGGAGGGGUGACGGCCAAACUGGGACUGGAAAAACGCUCAGACUCCUUCGGGGAGCAACAGGAGGGGAACUUUGGCAAAUGACGGAAGUCUGGACGAGGAACGCCGCGGGGGUGGAGGAGGGUCUCGGAUCGGAAAACUCUUUUGAAAGAGAAGAAAGAGUGGUAGAGUUGAAAGUUCACACUGUGACGGUAUCUAACCAGAAAGGGACGGCUAACUACGUG